UUGACCUCAAAUCAGGUAGGAUUACCCGCUGAACUUAAGCAUAUCAAUAAGCGGAGGAAAAGAAACCAACUGGGAUUACCUUAGUAACGGCGAGUGAAGCGGUAAAAGCUCAAAUUUGAAAUCUGGUACUUUCAGUGCCCGAGUUGUAAUUUGUAGAAUUUGUCUUUGAUUAGGUCCUUGUCUAUGUUCCUUGGAACAGGACGUCAUAGAGGGUGAGAAUCCCGUUUGGCGAGGAUACCUUUUCUCUGUAAGACUUUUUCGAAGAGUCGAGUUGUUUGGGAAUGCAGCUCAAAGUGGGUGGUAAAUUCCAUCUAAAGCUAAAUAUUGGCGAGAGACCGAUAGCGAACAAGUACAGUGAUGGAAAGAUGAAAAGAACUUUGAAAAGAGAGUGAAAAAGUACGUGAAAUUGUUGAAAGGGAAGGGCAUUUGAUCAGACAUGGUGUUUUUUGCAUGCACUCGCCUCUCGUGGGCUUGGGCCUCUCAAAAAUUUCACUGGGCCAACAUCAAUUCUGGCAGCAGGAUAAAUCAUUAAGAAUGUAGCUACUUCGGUAGUGUUAUAGCUUUUUGGAAUACUGUUAGCCGGGAUUGAGGACUGC
Molecule: ribosomal RNA, 596 nt
Filed under: Hanseniaspora uvarum
Lineage: Eukaryota; Fungi; Ascomycota; Saccharomycetes; Saccharomycodales; Saccharomycodaceae
Description: LSU rRNA
Rfam family: Eukaryotic large subunit ribosomal RNA
Source: RNAcentral